Molecule: ribosomal RNA, 253 nt
Filed under: uncultured bacterium
Lineage: Bacteria
Description: partial 16S ribosomal RNA
Rfam family: Bacterial small subunit ribosomal RNA
Source: RNAcentral
UACGGAGGGUGCAAGCGUUAUCCGGAUUCACUGGGUUUAAAGGGUGCGUAGGUGGGUUGGUAAGUCAGUGGUGAAAUCUCCGAGCUUAACUUGGAGACUGCCAUUGAUACUAUCAGUCUUGAAUACCGUGGAGGUCAGCGGAAUAUGUCAUGUAGCGGUGAAAUGCUUAGAUAUGACAUAGAACACCAAUUGCGAAGGCAGCUGACUACGCGAAUAUUGACACUGAUGCACGAAAGCGUGGGGAUCAAACAGG